CAACUAUUUGUUAUGCCACCAACACCAUUGCAAUGGAAAGUUAAAUACAUAACCAAUAACAUUCCCAUUUUAGGAAUGUAUUCAAAAUAGGCAUGGAUUCAGAGAAUCCUAAAGUGAGCAAGCUAGGAAUUACCUGACACUUGCAGUUAUAGUGUUGGAGAAAUCUGUUCUGUGAAGUUGUUAUUUUUUGUUUGUUUGUUUGUUUGUUUUGUUUUGUUUUGGUUUGGUUUGGUUUUCUUUUCUUUUGUUUGUUUGUUUAUUUGCUUGUUUGCUUUGGUACAUCUCUUUGGAUUGAGAUGUAACCUUAAAACAGUCUUCUUCUUGCAUGUCUGGAUUCUUUUAGGAGGAAAUCCACAUGCAGGUAGGAAUGGAGUUGCAGUGUGUUUCCAGUUUAACUGCUGAAGGGACCAGGACAGGAGGGAACACCCUAGAGUCCACCCACUCUACCAGCUGGACACAUAACACAUUGUUCUGUGUGACCUGAUGAAAAUGCAGUUUCUGGCAGAUAACCAAAUCAGAGUAGCCCUCUUGCCCAGAAGCCUUGAAAGGUGUCUCCAAAAUGAAGUCUUUUCCUGUCAGACAAAUGAAGUCUAUUCUGAUGUGGCCCCUGAGGGUACUGCUGGCAGAGAUCAGAGUUGACAUAAAUCCAG
RNAcentral lists this long non-coding RNA (650 nucleotides) under Anas platyrhynchos platyrhynchos (common mallard). Its description in RNAcentral is "lncRNA (ENSAPLG00000022881.1)". The record is from RNAcentral. Lineage: Eukaryota; Metazoa; Chordata; Aves; Anseriformes; Anatidae.